CCCCUCUCAAGGUUACACCUGGAGAGUUCCCAGUACGCUUCCAGUUUCGACUACAGAAGGGAGAGUCAGGCAGAGGCUUAUCCAUUCCAUUCCUAGCUUGGGCAGUGGUUAGUGAGUGGAAGGCAAUUUGCUACAAGA
Non-coding RNA from Ornithorhynchus anatinus (platypus), 138 nucleotides. The record is from Rfam. NCBI's taxonomy places the organism in Eukaryota, Metazoa, Chordata, Mammalia, Monotremata, Ornithorhynchidae.